UGGGUAAUCUUUUGAAACUUCAUCGUGAUGGGGAUAGAGCAUUGCAAUUAUUGCUCUUCAACGAGGAAUCCCUAGUAAGCAUGAGUCAUCAGCUCAUGUUGAUUACGUCCCUGCCCUUUGUACACACCGCCCGUCGCUACUACCGAUUGAAUGGCUUAGUGAGACCUUUGGAUUGGGGUUUAUGAGUCGGCAACGAAUUUUAUUCUCCGAGAAGUCGGUCAAACUUGGUCAUUUAGAGGAAGUAAAAGUCGUAACAAGGUUUCCGUAGGUGAACCUGCGGAAGGAUCAUU
Molecule: ribosomal RNA, 290 nt
Filed under: Diversispora versiformis
Lineage: Eukaryota; Fungi; Glomeromycota; Glomeromycetes; Diversisporales; Diversisporaceae
Description: partial 18S ribosomal RNA
Rfam family: Eukaryotic small subunit ribosomal RNA
Source: RNAcentral